Mauremys reevesii (Reeves's turtle) is the source of this 614-nucleotide long non-coding RNA. RefSeq lists it as uncharacterized. Lineage: Eukaryota; Metazoa; Chordata; Testudines; Geoemydidae. The transcript has 3 exons. The record is from RefSeq and is a predicted model, not a curated record.
CAUGGCAAUGAACUGAUGUAUAUGAGAAUAAGUUGAGAUCAUUACUAUACUAACCUAUAGGACAAGGCACCCCAGCAUUAGUAAUGUGAGGAAAUACAAAUAAGGAAGAGGGGAGAACCCCCUACAGAAUAUGCAUUAGGCAUGGUAGCAUCAGCGUAAGGUAUUAUACAAGUUGUAUCCCAGCCUGUGGGCAGGAGGAGAGAGAGAUGUAGCCCUUGGGAGGUGCCGCUGGUGACGAUGAGGAAGAUCAUGGCUGACAUUUCAGGUUGUUCUGCAAGGGAUGGUAUUCCGUUGUGGAGAGGGACCCAGGCAGUCACGUCCCGUGGGCAGAGCAGGUGUCCAGGUUGGGGAGCAAAGCCAAAGAUCAGCACCAGAGUCACCUGCCAGUUACCAGAAUCAGGGGUCAAGCCAGAGUCAGAGUCAGGAGUUGAAGCUGAGCGUCAGAGCCAGGACUGUGGUUCCUAAUUACGCAGAAGCAAGGGAGGUGCCUACUGAAUUACCUCCACUACUUUGUCAAGCACAAUGGUUUCUUUGCAGAGCCUCCAUCCAAGGCCUAAGCCAAUUUCAUUUAGAUAUAACCUGAGCACAGCUCAAGCUGGGCUGGCUGCAGAACA